AUACGAAGGGGGCUAGCGUUGCUCGGAAUCACUGGGCGUAAAGCGCACGUAGGCGGCUUUUUAAGUCAGGGGUGAAAUCCUGGAGCUCAACUCCAGAACUGCCUUUGAUACUGAGAAGCUUGAGUCCGGGAGAGGUGAGUGGAACUGCGAGUGUAGAGGUGAAAUUCGUAGAUAUUGGGAAGAACACCAGUGGCGAAGGCGGCUCACUGGCCCGUAACUGACGCUGAGGUGCGAAAGCGUGGGGAGCGAACUG
RNAcentral lists this ribosomal RNA (253 nucleotides) under uncultured prokaryote. Its description in RNAcentral is "partial 16S ribosomal RNA". It matches the Rfam family "Bacterial small subunit ribosomal RNA", at positions 523 to 775 of the family's 1533-position model. The record is from RNAcentral.